RNAcentral lists this ribosomal RNA (271 nucleotides) under uncultured bacterium. RNAcentral describes it as "partial 16S ribosomal RNA". The record is from RNAcentral.
CUGCUGCCUCCCGUAGGAGUUUGGACCGUGUCUCAGUUCCAAUGUGGGGGACCUUCCUCUCAGAACCCCUAUCCAUCGUCGUCUUGGUGGGCCGUUACCCCGCCAACUAACUAAUGGAACGCAUCCCCAUCGAUAACCGAAAUUCUUUAAUAUCAAGAUCAUGCGACCUUGAUAUCCUAUCGGAUAUUAAUCUUUCUUUCGAAAGGCUAUCCCCGAGUUAUCGGCAGGUUGGAUACGUGUUACUCACCCGUGCGCCGGUCACCAUCGGAAG